Molecule: ribosomal RNA, 427 nt
Filed under: uncultured bacterium
Lineage: Bacteria
Description: partial 16S ribosomal RNA
Rfam family: Bacterial small subunit ribosomal RNA
Source: RNAcentral
UGGGGAAUAUUGCACAAUGGGCGCAAGCCUGAUGCAGCCAUGCCGCGUGUAUGAAGAAGGCCUUCGGGUUGUAAAGUACUUUCAGCGGGGAGGAAGGUGUUGAGGCUAAUAACCUCAGCAAUUGACGUUACCCGCAGAAGAAGCACCGGCUAACUCCGUGCCAGCAGCCGCGGUAAUACGGAGGGUGCAAGCGUUAAUCGGAAUUACUGGGCGUAAAGCGCACGCAGGCGGUAUGUCAAGUCGGAUGUGAAAUCCCCGGGCUCAACCUGGGAACUGCAUUCGAAACUGGCAGGCUAGAGUCUUGUAGAGGGGGGUAGAACUCCAGGUGUAGCGGUGAAAUGCGUAGAGAUCUGGAGGAAUACCGGUGGCGAAGGCGGCCCCCUGGACAAAGACUGACGCUCAGGUGCGAAAGCGUGGGGAGCAAACA